GCUGUUUCUCUUUGUGUGCACACAGCUGGAAGUCUUCUCUUACCUGCUAUCCUGUGUUCCUUCACUCCCUGGGUUCCUGUUCAGGCGCCAAUUGCCACGUCCCAUGCGGCCCCUGAUGUUCCCACGGUGAGGAGGCCUGGAGCCCAGCAUGCCAGCUCCUGCUCAGCCCCAACCCUCAGCCCUUGUUUCGGGACCGGAGCAACCAGCCAGCCUCAAGCCUUGUCCAGCUGUCCCUGUCCUCACCCCUGGGACCUGUCAGCGUGUUAGGCUCUGUGGCACUGAGGUUCUUCCAGCGUGGUCAGGCCUAGUGUGACCACAGGGUUCUCCGACACGGAGGAGGAGGCGGCAGCGCGGAGGUCAGAGUGAUGCAACAGCCAGAGAACUUGCCACGCUCCUACCGGCUUUGAAGGGGGACAGCUGCCUGCACAGGAGAGGGGGUCUUGAUCCCCCAAGAGCUUCCAGAAGGAGCACAGUCCUGACGCCUUGAUUUAGCCUCUCUGAGACUUGCACUAGACUUAUCUACAGAGCUGUGUGACAAUAUGUUUGUGAGUUUUUAAAUUUUUCUUUUGGUUUGUGAGACAGGUGCUUGCUAUGCAGUUUAGGCUGGCCUUACACUCACUGUGUAGCCCAGGCUGGCUCAAUCCUGUGGCAAUCCUCCUGCCUCAGCUUUCCGAGUUCUCAGAUUACCGGCACCCUCCACCAUGCAUUGCAAUCUGUGUUACUUCAAGCCAUUUAAUGUGCAGUAAUCUGUUACAGCAGCCAAAAGAAACUAGCAGAGAUAAUUGAUAUCUUCAUAAUAUUGAACUUUCCAAUCUGUGAGCAUGGUAUGACUCUGCAUUUAUAUAGAUGCUCUUUAAUUCCUCUCAGUAGUAUUUUAUAGCUUUCAGUCUAGCAGGCUUGCCCAUCUUUCAUUAAAAUUAUUCCUCCGUAUCUUACAUUUCUUGAUGCAUAGCAGAUCUGUUAUUUGAAGCAGAAACCUCCCAAACCAGAAGAAAUUAGAAGGCAGUGUUCACAAUCCUGGCACAUGGCUGGAGUGGACUCUGUGCUGGAAUGAGGAAGCCCCAGCACCACCGUCUUGGAGGCCCUGCACCGUGCUCUGGGGGCUCUUCCCGGUUCUGUCUAUGAGGAACCAAGAAAGACCUCUGGGGACCUGGAGGAGGAGGGGACCCCGCAGACUUUGCUGGUCAGAGAAGGCCGUGCUUCCCCCAAAGUGCUCCAGAAAACUUGGUGGAAAAGUUGCAGCCAGGGAAAGGAGAAGGAAGCAUCAGGGAAAAAAAUCUGUGUUCCUGAAGAAACACUUGCAAUAGGCAGAGUUAGCUGCAGGAGUGUAGACAGCUCCCUCCUGGGCAUUCCCACCACACCAGCGGGGUGCCAGCAGGAAGACAGGGGGUGACAGCCAGCACUAAAGAGGGAAGGACACUUAGGGAAGCCCAAAGCCAAGAAGGAGACAAAAACAAAAAUACCAAAGGAAUCCGCAGGCUCUGAUAUCUGUAACUACAGAAACACACACAAUCCUAACUAGGUAGCCUUAAAUUCUCAAAUUAACAUCCUGUUUACUCGACUUCCUAAUGCAAACAUGCAUGAUCAACUCUUUUCAGAAAGAUCACGGAGGGACAGAAUUAUGAAAAUUAUUAUUCCAAAAACUUCGUGAUCCCUGUAAGGAUCCUCCAAGCCUCAAGCCAUCCUCUCCCUCCAGCCUGCUGGUAGUUCCGCCGCCUCCUCUGCGCUGAGAGAUUGGCCAGGUUUUUGCAGAUCUGCCCAUCAACCUGCCAGAGCCACCUUGGCCUUGCGGUUGGAGACUCUCCCACUGAAACCGGUCACCAGCUCCUCUAUUGCUCACAGCAUGUACUUAUUCCUCAAAAUUUUCUAGUGCUGCCAGAAAGGUGACCUUUUCAUCUUAAGCCUCUCUCUUUCUAUUUUUAAAAAUUUCUUCCCUGUCAGAGACCCUUCCCACAGCACUGGUUACUGGGGACUCCAGUCUCCCUCCUGGAGUUCGGGGGCGUGGCAGGAGGGAAGAUCAAGAGCCACACUGGAGGUGCAGCAGGUGUCCUUGGUGACAGUUGUCCCAGGGAACAAAACACCCAGAACCGUGGUACUGAUGGAUCACAUCCGGUCAAGGACAGUGGGCGGAGGGCGCUGAGUGUCUCCGGAGCAGCAGUGGUGGCUGCGUGGAUGGGGAAGAAGAGCAAAGCUUCGUGCAAGGACAGGGCAAGUCGGGGCAGCGAGGAGACCGGAGUGUCCCCAGGACCUUGUGGUCUCAGCAGCCCCAGCUUGGCUGGUGAGCGGGCAGCAGUCUUUAGCCUUAGGGCUUCCAGCUGUGACCGGAAAAGUUUCCAUGUUUCAAUCUGGCUCGAGGGCAGGACAAGGACGAGCGUGGACGUCCCUAGACUCAGUUUAUAAUUUGUGGUCCCUAGCACUUCCCUCCUAUUUCUCCUCAAUUCCUGCCUCAGUGGUUCUGAUCUCCUUUUGCUAAUUGUGUACCCACUCUUAAUUGUAUUCAUUAUUAAAUGGUUCGCUUGACUGGCCCGACUUAAAUAUUCCCUGGUUUCCUUAAGCCUUGUCUAAUGGUCCAAAAGAAGGUUCAAGCCGCUCCUUCUGAGACCCGUGCAGCUGAGCCAGCAUUUUACUAAGCGGAGUUUAUCCUUAUUAGUCAGUGUAUCCUCAUAGCAACAGACUAGAUCCCUGACUUAAGAACCUGGUGCCUUUCUUAUAGGCUGUGAACCACCUCACACUCUCCCUAUUCCUCUCUAGUCCUCCUUCCUUAACAGUCGAUUCUAACCGUAAUAGAGCAAAGUACCUAUGUUUACUAAGUACUUUGUGUCCCAGGUGCCACCACUUAAAAUUCUUGAUCAUUUCCGGGAUCAUAGUUUUGAGCUGGACAAGACGAGUGUGGGCUGUGUUAAAACCAACGCUCGCCACUGCUCUCCUAAACUGAUUUUGGAUUUAAACCAAAAAAAUGGCAUUUCUGAUGUCAGACUUGCUUGCCUGGUUCUGAUAUUUUGGCAGGAAAAUAUAAAUUUUUAUCAUCUUUAGAAUUCUUGAAAAUCAACAUAGUGGUUUAAGAGUUACUUAUGCAUGGUUACUAGAAAGAAAUUCUACUUACACUGGGCUAAUAAAAAAGCAGUUUAUUGUAAGCCAUGAAGCAUCCCAGAGUGUUGAAUUCCAGCAGCUACAGCAGCCGUCACAGAAGCAGAAGGUCACCCAAGCGCCCUCCACUGUGCUCUUGCUGUCUUUCUCUUCCUGUCCUCUGCCUCCUGGACCCUUGUCUCUGCUCUGCAUGCGCCUUUCCUUUUGUCCUUGCAAAAUACCAACUGUGAGUGCCACAUCCAUCCAGGUAUUUGUUGUUCAUUUGCCAGGUAUUUGUUUUUAACACAGCCCACACUCAUCAUGUGCAGCUCAAAACUGUGAUCCCAGCAGUGCCAUUUCUAGUUACAAACGCUGCUUCCUCUGAAACUAGGAGCGAGACUGUGACAGGCUGACUCUGGUAAGAGGCCAGCCUCCUCCAGCCGGCUCACACUGCCUGACAGCCAAGGACAUAUCGCUGCACUGUCCCGUCCAGUUAGGGUCCAACAUGCUUUUCAAGAAGGGCAUAUCAGCUCUCCACAGCUGUGACACAAUAUGUAAGGACAUCACCUCGCAGGAGACAUGUGCUUGGCUCAUGGUUCUAGAGGUCCCAGCCUGUGUUCACCUAGAGCGUGGCACUGGGCUUGUGCUGGGGCCAAGCAUCAUGGUGCUGAUGGUGGUGGGGCAAAGCUGCUCACCCCACAGUGGCCUGGACGCAGAGAGGCCUCACAUCACACAAGGCCCCGUGCCCAACUCCCACAGUGGCGCAAACCCAUCAGUGGAUGAGGGCCGACCCUCAUAGCGUCCCCAGUGCCUCGCAGUGGCUGCCCCUCGGGACCAAGCCUUCAACACAGGAAUUUGGGGAAGACUUUGGAGAUUCAAGUUAUAAAACAGUGGGUGUGGGCAGCAAAUAAACAACAAAUACCUGGAUGGAAUGACGGUCGUCUCCUAUGCAAGGCUUGGACAAGCGAGCAUUUAUUUAACUUAUUGGCUACUACUGCCAGGAUCGAUAGCUAAUUACCUCUGGCCUUGUAGUUUGGGGUAGAUUGACGUGAGAGCAGACUACUCUGUUAUCUCAUCCCAUGAAGACAGUGUUACUGUGUUUACAUUUUUAUUACAAUUUCUUCUAAAUUGCUCAUUUCAUGGAUGUUAUAGAAAAUACAGAAUUAAAUUACAUUAUUCCAUAAAAGCAUAUGUAUCUUAAUAAGUGUUCUCGGUGCCUAAGAAAGGGCUUGGGAAACCCAAAGAUCACCCACUCUCCCUGGAUUUCCUCACUGCUGGUAGUAACACUAGAGGCCAAGAUAAAACUUCAGAUUUUUCUCUUAAAACUUACUGGCUCAUUGUUAUAAUUCUGGAUAGAGCUAGUUGAGGAAUAAUAGGUCUGGUCUGUGCUUUGUAUCCUCUCUUUUCUGUAAGCAGCAUCAAAAUCAUUUACUGUAUUAAAGGUCAAGAUUGAACUUUUCCUUUAAAAAUAAAACCGUCACAUUUUCAAAGUUAGAGAGAAGAUAAAAAUAGUUCCUUUAAUUCCUAAAAGUAAGACCUCAGUAAUUUCCUAUCAAUGCUAAAUAAUAACCAUAAAAUUAGCAUAAAAUCUUGUAAUGUCUCUCUCUUUCACACACACACAGUCAAUCACACAAGUGUGACAGUUGGCUCCUAACUCAGUCGUGCAUUUCAGAGUUCACUGUGUGGCUGAGUU
Molecule: long non-coding RNA, 4759 nt
Organism: Cavia porcellus (domestic guinea pig)
Lineage: Eukaryota; Metazoa; Chordata; Mammalia; Rodentia; Caviidae
Exons: 3
Source: RefSeq, a predicted model, not a curated record